Molecule: transfer RNA, 68 nt
Filed under: Gynaikothrips uzeli
Lineage: Eukaryota; Metazoa; Arthropoda; Insecta; Thysanoptera; Phlaeothripidae
Description: tRNA-Gln
Source: RNAcentral
UAUAUUUUAGUGUAAUAGCAUUUAAAUUUUUGAAAUUUAACGUAUUAAUUAAAUAUUAAUAAAUAUAA